Molecule: ribosomal RNA, 379 nt
Filed under: uncultured eukaryote
Lineage: Eukaryota
Description: SSU rRNA
Rfam family: Eukaryotic small subunit ribosomal RNA
Source: RNAcentral
AGCUCCAAUAGCGUAUAUUAAAGUUGUUGCAGUUAAAAAGCUCGUAGUUGAACCUCGGGCCUGGCUGGCCGGUCCGCCUCACCGCGUGCACUGGUCCGGCCGGGCCUUUCCUCCUGGGGAUCCCCAUGCCCUUCGCUGGGCGUGGCGGGGAACCAGGGCUUUUACUUUGAAAAAAUUAGAGUGUUCAAAGCAGGCCUUUGCUCGGAUACCUUAGCAUGGAAUAAUGGAAUAGGACGGCCCUCCUAUUUUGUUGGUUUCUAGGGGGGCCGUAAUGAUUAAUAGGGACGGUCGGGGGCAUUAGUAUUCAAUUGUCAGAGGUGAAAUUCUUGGACCUAUUGAAGACUACCUACUGCGAAAGCAUUUGCCAAGGAUGUUUUCA